Molecule: ribosomal RNA, 530 nt
Filed under: uncultured bacterium
Lineage: Bacteria
Description: bacterial SSU rRNA
Rfam family: Bacterial small subunit ribosomal RNA
Source: RNAcentral
AGUGGCGGACGGGUGAGUAAGACGUGGGUGACCUACCUUUCAGUGAGGGAUACCGGCGAGAAAUCGCCGACAACCCCGCAUGGGCUUCUGUUCAUCAAGGAACAGAAGCAAAGUUUUUUUCGCAAGAAAGAGACGCUGGGAGAUGGGCCCGCGGCCGAUUAGCUGGUUGGUGGGGUAAGAGCCUACCAAGGCUGCGAUCGGUAGCUGGUCUGAGAGGACGAUCAGCCACACUGGGAUUGAGAACGGCCCAGACUCCUACGGGGGGCAGCAGUGAGGAAUUUUCCGCAAUGGGGGCAACCCUGACGGAGCAACGCCGCGUGCAGGAGGACGGUUCUCGGAUCGUAAACUGCUUUUCUCUGGGACGAGAGUGGACGGUACCAGAGGAAGAAGCCCCGGCUAACUACGUGCCAGCAGCCGCGGUAAUACGUAGGGGGCGAGCGUUGUCCGGAUUUAUUGGGCGUAAAGGGCCCGCAGGCGGUUGUGUCAGUUUGGGGUUACAGCUCCCGGCUUAACUGGGAGAGCGCCUCGAA